Amphiprion ocellaris (clown anemonefish) is the source of this 371-nucleotide long non-coding RNA. The record is from Ensembl. Lineage: Eukaryota; Metazoa; Chordata; Actinopteri; Pomacentridae.
GGUCUUUAACCCUCAGUUCAUGUAGAGUUCCAGGUUCCUUUGUUCAGAUGCAGAACUGUUUGGGAUGUUCUUUAACUUCUAUCUGCCCGAAACCGUCAGAUUUGUUUACCUGCUUCGACACUUGGUGCAUCCAUGGAGUUUCGUCUUUGUGUGGAAAUUACUCAGCCUCGGACCAAGUUCACGUCUCAUCUUUCAAGUUGACUGAUGGAAUUUGACCAUGCUGAGAACGGACAGAAGAGCUGACUCCUGGAAACGGCAGCACGUCGGCGAGGGAGGAGGAACUUUAGUUGCUGAGUGGAUGUGUACUAACAAUACAGAAGUCUGCUGUUUUCUUUACUUGCCUUUGUUUUACAUAAAACAAAUUACACCUG